AUUUUGUUGUUCUAUUCCCAUACAGUCCUUUCCCACUGAUUUGGGGAUUUUUACUUCGCUCUUUGCCCACUGGUUUAAAUCUUUCUCAAACAAACAAAUCAGUUAUACAGCCCUUGCCCUUGUCUUGGAGGAUUUUUGCUGAAGGUACUGAUAUGCAAAUUAAUUCAAUAUUCACCUCUUGUUGAUGGCGUUAUAGGCUUCUAGCUGCAGGAUGUGCUGCAUCAUCAUCUUAUUUUCUUGGACCCAAAAGGUGGCAGCCUAACUCAACAGCUAAGGAGGUAAGCACAAUACCUUUAGGCUACUUUUGACAUCUAUUUCAAUAGCUUGCCUUAAUGCUUAUUUACAUGUUAAAUUUAUUUGCUUAGGAACACAAGAUAGUUUAAGAAUUGGUAAUUCAUGUUGGCAUCCACAUGUAUUAUUUGAACUUUGGAUCACUAGUUGUUUUCUUAAACUGUAUAAUUGUUUUCAUAAUUUCUUUGCUUUUUAGUGUUUAUUUUGUCUAUCGUUUCAUGGCUGGCUGGGAUCUGCAUUUAUGUGGACUGUUAUCUAUUUGUAAGUUCAUUUUGAUGCAAGUAUUUUUAAGUUCUUUAGACGAGCAUUCUCCUUAACACAUGAAAACAGAUGUAGAUAGGUAGCAAACUUAGUGGAAUUCUAGAUCCCUAUCCAUUAAUAUUUGGUCUGAUAUGAAGAUUUUAUUUGCUGCAAGAGAGAGUGGCACAUGUUUGUUCUGUUUCUUCUCAUCAAAUCUUUUAACAAUCUUGAGAUUGAGUGAUUUCUUUGGAUCAAAUCUUUUCCUAUAUCUGCACUUUUGCUUCUCGUAGUCUUGAGAUUGAAGUGAUUUCUUGUGUUGGAGGAUGG
RNAcentral lists this unclassified non-coding RNA (858 nucleotides) under Hevea brasiliensis (rubber tree). Lineage: Eukaryota; Viridiplantae; Streptophyta; Magnoliopsida; Malpighiales; Euphorbiaceae. The record is from RNAcentral.